CAGGCCCUCUUUCUAGGACUCGUCCAAAUUGGAGACUUUAAUCGCUGGAGCGGAGAUCCAUGGAUCUGGAUCUGGAUGCAUCUCUUCUCCCGUCGGUCGGCGACGAACCCUAGCUAGCGUGUCUCCACCGGCUUCCCUAAAAAAAAAAAAAACUCGUGUCAGUCCGGGUGCGAGAGGCCACCGGCGGCGCUCUAGACUAAUCGGAUCGGAUCUGAGCGAAUCCCGCCGCCGCGCCCGUCUCGCAUGCCGUGGCCGAUGACCGCGUCGGCCGGGGCCCGUCCCUGCCCAAACGGCGGCGAUGAUGGAUGGAGCCGCCGGCGCCGGCCAGGCUCCCGACCUGCGGACGCGCCGGGUCGCCGCUCCUCGGGGCCAGCCCCUCCCGCCGCGGCGGAUCGCGCAUCGGCUUGGAGGCCCCUCGGGGCUGCCGCCGGUGCGGGAGGCCUCCGCGGCGCGGGCUGGGGAGUGGGGACCGAGCGGCGGGGCCCGUGAGGCGUUCCGGUCGAGGGAUUGGUCGGGCCGGUGCGGGAUCUGAGCCGCCGUCCAUGGAUUUCUCGCAGCUUGGCUGCGUUUCGCUUUCGAUUCGAGUCCACACCAGUGAACCCUAACCCGAAACCGGAUCAGGCGAGCUCUCGUUGCCGGAUCGCUGACCCGUCGUCCUGGUGGCCGCUGCGUCAGUUCCACACCGCUACGGCGCCGCUAGCCAUUGCCGUUCCCUUGCCUUGGAUUCGGUUGUGGCGUGGGCUGGAGCCGUACUCUGUUGUCUGAUGCGUCGUUCAAGCGGGGGGUUUGGUCAGUCGAGGCCAGGCAUGAGCAGCUCCUGAGCAGGAUGGAUGGAUGGAAGGAUGGAUGCGUUCAUGUGUCGUGAACUAAAACCACGACUCCUAUUUUUGAACGGAGGGAGUAUGAAUGUAUGGAUAUCAUGGUCAUGUUGCUUGCUGUGUAGAGCCCGGAGGUGGGUUGAGAAAAAAAGAGGGGCAAUGAUGAUGAUGACGACGACGACGAUGGCUGAAAUAACCAUGUCUUGAGCAAUCAAGGCAGCUGUGGUGUGGUGGUACUAAACAGAGCUGAAAAAAAUAUCGGUGUCUGCGUUGGAGUUGGCCUUGGAGCCCACCCUUGCCUCUCUUGCAGCCUGUCUAAUUCAUCGCUGAUGUUGGAUGCUUUGUGCCUCGGGCGGUCAUUCUGUUGAGUGAUAACCAUGGCAGUUCUCUUGCAUCGUGAUGGGUAGAUUAUGCAGCAAGAAAUGUGGGGGUUGGGCUUGAAGAUGGAAGACAAAACUAACCCUAAACCGAAUCAGGCGAGCUCUCGUUGCCGGAUCGCCGGCCAAUCAUCCGGUUGGCCGCCACGUCAGUUUCGCACCCCUGCGGUGCUGCCAGCCACCGCCGUUCCAUUGCCUUGGAUUUGGCUGUGGCGUGGGCUGGGAACCGUACGGUGUUUGUCUGACGAGCCGUCCGCACGGGGGGUUUGGUCGGUCGACUCCAGGUAUGAGCAGCUCCUGAGCUUGAUGGCUGGAUGUGUGCACACAUGUAAUGGAGUAUCAUGGUCAUGUUGCUUGGUGUGCCGAGGCAACCUCAUUUUUGGACCAAAAAGAGGGGCGAUGACGACGACGACGACGAUGAUGAUGACUGUGGCUGAAAUAAUGAUGUCUUGAGCAAUCGAGACAGCCUUUGUUUGUGGGACUAAACUGAGCUGAAAAAGUCGGUGUCACCACCCUUGCCUCUGUUGCAGCCUGCUCAAUUUUUCGCCGAUGUUGGAUGAUCUGUCCCUUGGACGGUCGUUCUGAUGAGUGACAACCAGGGCAGUUCUCUUACACUGCGAUGGGUAGAUCAUGCAGCAAGAGAUGUGGGUGUUGGGUUUGAAGAUGAAUGACAAAGCUGAGCCCUCUUUUGCUACGCUACAUACACUGAAUUUUCACUGUUCAGUUGCAUUUUGUUUUGGAUUCGGUGUGAAUCCUCCUCCUCCUCUCUCUCUCUCUCUCUCUCUCUCUCUAUAUAUAUAUAUAUAUAUAUAUAUAUAUAUAUAUAUAUAUAUAUAUAUAUCCUACAACAAAUCAGUCAAGCUGUCAUUGCCUACUUGCUGACCCAUGGUCCGGGUGGACUAACGCUAUGGUGCCGUCAGCCACCGCCAUUCCAUUGCCUUGGAUUCGGUUGUGGCGUGGGCUGGGAACCAUACAGUGUUGUCUGAUGCGUCGUCCGAGCCGGAGGUCUGGUACUCUGGUCGGCUGAUGCCAGACAUGAGCAACUCCUGAGAGCAUGGUUAAUAGUACAGCCAACUUCUGGCAUGCAUGCAUGUUUGUAUGGAUGCAUGUAUGUAUGGAUGUAUGGAUACUAUGGUCAUGUUGCUGCCGAAAUCACUGUUUUGACCUUUUUGUAAAGGUUCGCACAAAUGAACCAUGUCCGAAACUUCAGUACAAUCUAACCCCCUGUAUCCAUCGAUCCAUCCAUCUAUCCAUCGACCCAUCCAUCCAUCUAUCUGUCUAUCUAUUUGAGGCGAUGAUGAUAAAACAUGGCUGACAUAAACUUGUCUUCGAUUAUUCGAGGAGCUGUGGGCUUCAAAAACCUACUCUCCCCUCUUUUGGCACCUUAUCAUUCUCACCGAAUAUUGACGGCUCUGUCUUGGAUGGUCAUUCUGCUGAGUGAUAACCAGAGGAGCUCGACCUCAGUGGUGGGGGUUGAUCUGGUGAAAGAAGAUGGAGCCAGGUUGUAUGAUCUAUCAAAGGCGAAUCUGAGCCCUCUCAAAUCUCAAUGCAA
This is a long non-coding RNA of Triticum aestivum (bread wheat), 2747 nucleotides long. RefSeq lists it as uncharacterized. The record is from RefSeq and is a predicted model, not a curated record. The transcript has 2 exons. Lineage: Eukaryota; Viridiplantae; Streptophyta; Magnoliopsida; Poales; Poaceae.